CAUAUCAAUAAGCGGAGGAAAAGAAACCAACAGGGAUUGCCCCAGUAACGGCGAGUGAAGCGGCAACAGCUCAAAUUUGAAAUCUGGCCCCCCGGCCCGAGUUGUAAUUUGGAGAGGAUGCUUCUGGCGCGGCGCCGUCCGAGUUCCUUGGAACAGGACGCCACAGAGGGUGAGAGCCCCGUACGGACGGACGCCUAGCCUCUACGAAGCUCCUUCGACGAGUCGAGUAGUUUGGGAAUGCUGCUCAAAAUGGGAGGUAAAUUUCUUCUAAAGCUAAAUACCGGCCAGAGACCGAUAGCGCACAAGUAGAGUGAUCGAAAGAUGAAAAGCACUUUGAAAAGAGGGUUAAAAAGUACGUGAAAUUGUUGAAAGGGAAGCGCCUGUGACCAGACUUGCGCCCCGCGGACCACCCGGCGUUCUCGCCGGUGCACUCUGCGGUGCGCAGGCCAGCAUCGGUUCUCCCAGGGGGACAAAGGCCGCGGGAACGUAGCUCCUUCGGGAGUGUUAUAGCCCGCGGCGGCAUGCCCCUGGGGGGACCGAGGACCGCGCUUCGGCAAGGAUGCUGGCGUAAUGGUCACCAGCGAC
Molecule: ribosomal RNA, 585 nt
Filed under: Sporothrix schenckii
Lineage: Eukaryota; Fungi; Ascomycota; Sordariomycetes; Ophiostomatales; Ophiostomataceae
Description: eukaryotic LSU rRNA
Rfam family: Eukaryotic large subunit ribosomal RNA
Source: RNAcentral